GUAAGCAUAUCAAUAAGCGGAGGAAAAGAAACCAACCGGGAUUGCCUUAGUAACGGCGAGUGAAGCGGCAAAAGCUCAAAUUUGAAAUCUGGUACCUUCGGUGCCCGAGUUGUAAUUUGUAGAAGGUAACUUUGGGGCUGGUCCUUGUCUAUGUUCCUUGGAACAGGACGUCAUAGAGGGUGAGAAUCCCGUGUGGCGAGGAUCCCAGUUCUAUGUAAAGUGCUUUCGAAGAGUCGAGUUGUUUGGGAAUGCAGCUCUAAGUGGGUGGUAAAUUCCAUCUAAAGCUAAAUAUUGGCGAGAGACCGAUAGCGAACAAGUACAGUGAUGGAAAGAUGAAAAGAACUUUGAAAAGAGAGUGAAAAAGUACGUGAAAUUGUUGAAAGGGAAGGGCAUUUGAUCAGACAUGGUGUUUUGCGCCCUCUGCUCCUUGUGGGUGGGGGAAUCUCGCAGCUCACUGGGCCAGCAUCAGUUUUGGCGGUAGGAUAAAUCUGCAGGAAUGUAGCUUGCUUCGGCAAGUGUUAUAGCCUGUUGAAAUACUGCCAGCCGGGACUGAGGACUGCGACUUUUAGUCAAGGAUGCUGGCAUAAUGGUUAUAUGCCGCCCGUC
RNAcentral lists this ribosomal RNA (606 nucleotides) under Torulaspora globosa. Its description in RNAcentral is "LSU rRNA". It matches the Rfam family "Eukaryotic large subunit ribosomal RNA", at positions 34 to 653 of the family's 3401-position model. Lineage: Eukaryota; Fungi; Ascomycota; Saccharomycetes; Saccharomycetales; Saccharomycetaceae. The record is from RNAcentral.